CUGAAGACAUAUUGGUGAGCGGCUAGCAGAGAGGAAUGGCUACCGGAGAGGUGUGUAGAGGCAUGGCCAGCAGGAUGGCUAGCAGAGAGGAGCGGCUGGCGGUGAAGACUGUAGCAGAACCCCGUGGAGAGACGUGGCGAUUGGUCAUUGACCAGAGCAGUGGAGCAUACAGGUAUGGCAUGAACAGCAGCAGCAAAAUCUUGCAACCUACACUAUCAAUGCAGUACAACCCACUUCAUCUCAUCAGUGUGCCUUAACUUUGACCUGGAGAUAUUAUCCAUGUCCAGUCAGUCCUUCUGGGACAGUUGACAAGGAUUUCAGUUCUUUGGAGGUGACAUGAUUUUUUUAUGUGGAUAUUUGGUGAUGCACAAGUGAGAUUUAAAGGGCUCCCAGAAACUUCUGUUUUUACCACUGUUAAACUCUGAAAUUUCCCAUACUGGCCAGUGGCAGGGGCAGAAUACUAAACUAGAUAGACCACUGUUUGUAUGCAGUAUGACAAUUCCUGUGUUCCUAUACAAGGGUGAGGAGAAAACUACUUUUGCCUCCUUCUCUCUCCCAUGGUGCAAAUGCAUAAGCAGGAGCAUAACAUCACCAGAAAAUCUCACCCGGACAAUGAGAAUGUAACCUUGAACAAGAGCCUAAAUAGCAAGUUUAUUGAAAAAAGUGUCCACAAUUUUGCACUUGUAUUAAGAGAGGAUAUCUGAAACUUGGCCAAGUGUAUUCAUAACCAUAUAAUAAUAAUUAAUCUUGCUUAGUACUCAGGAUGCAUGUAUCAAAGGGGAAACACAUAAUUGAUUGUUGGAUAUUUUUCUGAUUUAUUACAUUGUAUAGAAAGCUCCUAACAAAAGCGAUGUGUGAGAAAUUUUGUGGUUCAUUCCAUUGGGUUCUUUCCUGCUGGUUUCUCAGAACAUGAAUGUGAUCUUUUGCAACUUCCCUCGUGACACUGCUGAAGAAAGAAGUACAGCUCAAACCAUACAUAAACUCAUGUCUCAGCACUCCUUUGUUCCUCUACUAUGCUUACUGUACUCCAUAGCACAUUAUUUGCUGUUUGAGUACUGUGUGUAGUGAAUAAAAUAAUUUUAAAGCACUC
Long non-coding RNA from Mauremys reevesii (Reeves's turtle), 1090 nucleotides. RefSeq lists it as uncharacterized. Lineage: Eukaryota; Metazoa; Chordata; Testudines; Geoemydidae. The transcript has 2 exons. The record is from RefSeq and is a predicted model, not a curated record.